RNAcentral lists this ribosomal RNA (253 nucleotides) under uncultured bacterium. RNAcentral's name for it is "partial 16S ribosomal RNA". It matches the Rfam family "Bacterial small subunit ribosomal RNA", at positions 524 to 776 of the family's 1533-position model. The record is from RNAcentral.
UACAGAGGUCUCAACCGUUGUUCGGAUUCAUUGGGCGUAAAGGGUGCGUAGGCGGUCGCGCAAGUCGGAUGUGAAAUCUCAGGGCUCAACCCUGAAACUGCAUUCGAUACUGCGUGGCUAGAGUGCUGGAGAGGAGACUGGAAUUUACGGUGUAGCAGUGAAAUGCGUAGAUAUCGUAAGGAAGACCAGUGGCGAAGGCGAGUCUCUGGACAGCAACUGACGCUGAGGCGCGAAAGCGUGGGGAGCAAACAGG